UCCCUGGAGGACUAGUGGUUAGGCCACAGUGCUCUCACCGCUGCUGCCCAGGUUUGAUUCCCAGCAAGGGGA
Pangasianodon gigas (Mekong giant catfish) is the source of this 72-nucleotide non-coding RNA. NCBI's taxonomy places the organism in Eukaryota, Metazoa, Chordata, Actinopteri, Siluriformes, Pangasiidae. The record is from the annotation of a GenBank genome assembly.